Molecule: long non-coding RNA, 247 nt
Filed under: Phoenix dactylifera (date palm)
Lineage: Eukaryota; Viridiplantae; Streptophyta; Magnoliopsida; Arecales; Arecaceae
Description: long non-coding RNA (PDAC_LNC011097)
Source: RNAcentral
AACUUGGUAUCUCCCAGCUCCCAUCUCAGGAGGGCAAAGAAAGUCCCAUACCUUCUUCCAAAAUCCAAUUCCAUUGCAGAAACUGGCACAUGACCCAUAUUCAAUGAAGGGAGAUCCUUUCACCCGCAUCAAAGCAGCUUCAUCCAUGCGAAACAGGGGAGAGGGAAUGAUCCCAUGCGUCCGCCACAUCGAUCCCAAGCGCCCGUUCGAAUGCAUCCAACUCCCGUGCCAGCCACCGUGCCAGCAA